Molecule: ribosomal RNA, 401 nt
Filed under: uncultured bacterium
Lineage: Bacteria
Description: bacterial SSU rRNA
Rfam family: Bacterial small subunit ribosomal RNA
Source: RNAcentral
GUGGGGAAUUGUUCACAAUGGGCGCAAGCCUGAUCCAGCCAUGCCGCGUGAGUGAUGAAGGCCUUAGGGUUGUAAAGCUCUUUCAGCGGGGAAGAUAAUGACGGUACCCGCAGAAGAAGCCCCGGCUAACUUCGUGCCAGCAGCCGCGGUAAUACGAAGGGGGCUAGCGUUGCUCGGAAUCACUGGGCGUAAAGCGCACGUAGGCGGAUCUUUAAGUCAGGGGUGAAAUCCUGGAGCUCAACUCCAGAACUGCCUUUGAUACUGGGGAUCUCGAGUCCGGAAGAGGUGAGUGGAACUCCGAGUGUAGAGGUGAAAUUCGUAGAUAUUCGGAAGAACACCAGUGGCGAAGGCGGCUCACUGGUCCGGUACUGACGCUGAGGUGCGAAAGCGUGGGGAGCAAA